CAUGUUAGCGCAAGUUGUUGACGUGGCAACAAAUCGCGCCAUCAAGGACGCGAUUUGUUGCCACGUCAACAACUUACGCUGAUGUGG
This is a non-coding RNA of Gossypium raimondii (Peruvian cotton), 87 nucleotides long. The record is from Rfam. NCBI's taxonomy places the organism in Eukaryota, Viridiplantae, Streptophyta, Magnoliopsida, Malvales, Malvaceae.